GACAUUGGAGUAUUUCUGUUAGUUUACAACGCAUGAAUAAUUUUUCAAAAUUGAUUAGUUCAUUAUCUUUUGCCUUUGUGAUAGACUCCACAACCUCAAAAGCGAUACAAUUAAGUUGACUUUCCCACAUGCCGGUGAAAUUGUAUAAAAAAAGUGGGUCUCCUGGUUGAAAGCUAGAUAUCCUAACCGCUGGAGGACAUUGGAGUAUUUCUUUUAGUUUACAAUGCAUCAAUAAUUGGUCUAAAUUGAUUUCUUCAUUAUCUUUUGCCUUCGUGAAAA
Molecule: long non-coding RNA, 279 nt
Filed under: Lathyrus oleraceus (garden pea)
Lineage: Eukaryota; Viridiplantae; Streptophyta; Magnoliopsida; Fabales; Fabaceae
Description: Pisum sativum (pea) long non-coding RNA (PSAT_LNC029693)
Source: RNAcentral